RNAcentral lists this ribosomal RNA (423 nucleotides) under uncultured bacterium. Its description in RNAcentral is "partial 16S ribosomal RNA". It matches the Rfam family "Bacterial small subunit ribosomal RNA", at positions 359 to 775 of the family's 1533-position model. The record is from RNAcentral.
GAUUUUGGACAAUGGGGGAAACCCUGAUCCAGCCAUCCCGCGAGUAGGAUGAAGGCAUUCUGGUUGUAAAGUACUUUUGGCAGAGAAGAAAAGGUAUCUACUAAGACGAGAUACUGCUGACGGUCUCUGUAGAAUAAGCACAGGUAAACUACGUGUCAGCAGCCGCGGUAAUACGUAGGGUUCAAGCGUUAAUCGGAAUUACUGGGCUUAAAGCGUGUGUAGGCGGUUCGGAAAGAAAGAUGUGAAAUCCCAGGGCUCAACCUUGGAACUGCAUUUUUAACUGCCGAGCUAGAGUAUGUCAGAGGGGAGUAGAAUUCCACGUGUAGCAGUGAAAUGCGUAGAUAUGUGGAGGAAUACCGAUGGCGAAGGCAGCCCCCUGGGAUAAUACUGACGCUCAGACACGAAAGCGUGGGGAGCAAACAG